GACAGAGGGUGCAAACGUUGUUCGGAAUUACUGGGCGUAAAGCGCGUGUAGGCGGUUUGGUAAGUCGGAUGUGAAAGCCCCGGGCUCAACCUGGGAAGUGCACUCGAUACUGCCAGGCUAGAGUAUCGGAGAGGUUGGUGGAAUUCCCGGUGUAGAGGUGAAAUUCGUAGAUAUCGAGAGGAACACCGGUGGCGAAGGCGGCCAACUGGACGAAUACUGACGCUGAGACUCGAAAGCGUGGGGAGCAAACAGG
Molecule: ribosomal RNA, 253 nt
Filed under: uncultured bacterium
Lineage: Bacteria
Description: partial 16S ribosomal RNA
Rfam family: Bacterial small subunit ribosomal RNA
Source: RNAcentral